This is a long non-coding RNA of Mastomys coucha (southern multimammate mouse), 518 nucleotides long. RefSeq lists it as uncharacterized. The record is from RefSeq and is a predicted model, not a curated record. NCBI's taxonomy places the organism in Eukaryota, Metazoa, Chordata, Mammalia, Rodentia, Muridae. The transcript has 3 exons.
GCCACACACACACAAGAAGUAUGGGCUUGUUGCUUUGCAGUGCUGGCGACCUAUUCCCUUUGAUGAUUCCUAGGUGGAGAUGGGGCAUGAGGAUCCUCCAGGGGAAUAGCUCACCACCACUGGGCAACAGGCCUAGCCCAGAUUUCAGUGAACCCACUUUCCUGAACCCAGCAAGGAAGACAAAGGCUCAACGACUGCCACCCUACAUCAAAAAUAGGAGAAAAGCUGCUGCAAUAGUGGCACUGACCUUCUGAGGAAGCCAUUCUGCUCUAUUUGGUCCCUUCCCUGGAAGCUACAAGACCUUUGCUGGCUGUUUACAUACUUCAGGAUGCACUGAGCUACCCUACCCAUGGGAUAUAAUACACAAUGCCAUCUACCAAAUAUUACUCUCCCUGCAAAGCAGCACAGAAAAUUGGGUCUUCAGCAUGAUCAAGAAAUGUGAACACACAGAAGGAAGCCAGCUUCAUAUACGACUCAAGGAUCAGCAUGCCUGACUGGCAGCAUCUUAUAAGCAACAG